RNAcentral lists this ribosomal RNA (377 nucleotides) under uncultured bacterium. Its description in RNAcentral is "bacterial SSU rRNA". It matches the Rfam family "Bacterial small subunit ribosomal RNA", at positions 27 to 407 of the family's 1533-position model. The record is from RNAcentral.
GAUUGAACGCUGGCGGAAUGCCUAACACAUGCAAGUCGAACGAGUUGUGUAGCAAUACAUGACUAGUGGCGGACGGGUGAGGAACACAUAGGAAUCUACCCUUGUAGUGGGGAAUAACCCGGGGAAACCCGGACUAAUGCCGCAUACGCACUAAGGUGGAAAGCGGGGGGAUCGUAAGACCUCGCGCUAUAGGAUGAGCCUAUGUCGGAUUAGCUAGUUGGUAGGGUAACGGCCUACCAAGGCGACGAUCCGUAGCUGGUCUGAGAGGACGAUCAGCCACACUGGAACUGAGACACGGUCCAGACUCCUACGGGAGGCAGCAGUGGGGAAUAUUGGACAAGUGGGGGAAACCCUGAUCCAGCAAUUCCGCGUGGGUG